CAGCUGGGAGGCUGGGCUGUUCCAUGCUUACAUGCUAAACAAGUGCCUUUGCCAUGAUUAAUGGGAUAGACCACUAAACUGGCCACCUCCAAAAUUAUGGAAUGUGUUAAUCAGAUGGACGGAUGACCUCGGGGAGUGCAGUGACCCUCAGGAUCAGAGAGGUGAAUUGCUCGGGAUCCAUCCAGAAUAUCUUUACUUUUUAGAAGGAUGUUCUAUUGCACGUGCUUUUAGUUCUGGAAGUGAUCAGCAUGUGGGCCAGCGUGAUGACUGCCACCUGAGUGCCACUGAAACCUGCACCAACAGUUCCUCUGGGAUGGCAGGAGACAAGAUAAGCUACCAUUGUAACAUUGCUUCACUAAGGAUCUCUGAAUGGCUCUGCAGGUGUAAAAGCUCCAUCUCCACUGCAGCUCUAUCAUGAGUGAAAUAGCCUUGUUCUGUGUGCCUCUCUGGUUGUCUCUGAUCUGCAGAGGAGUACAAGCAUUAGGAGCCAGCACCCUGGAAUUGCAGCUCUGGCUGUGGAUCCAUCCAUGCUACACUCUCAACGUAUGACAGCUCUUUGUACAAUGUACUCAGGUCAGCUUUUAAUUAGCUAACUUAUAUCCUGGUAGCAGCCAUGCAGAACUGAAUGCAAGCUAGGCUAACUAUCCUAUGAUAUCUGCUUAGAGUUUGGGAUAGCCUUUGUAAACUGUGUUGAACCCUAGUUGCCAU
Molecule: long non-coding RNA, 708 nt
Filed under: Struthio camelus australis
Lineage: Eukaryota; Metazoa; Chordata; Aves; Struthioniformes; Struthionidae
Description: lncRNA (ENSSCUG00000011657.1)
Source: RNAcentral